AAGGGCAGCAAGCUUAGCCAAAUAACCGCUCGCUCUCAGAUGGCGGAAGCCAGCGCUGUCUCGGGGCACGGCUCAAGUGGCUUUCCACACUGAAGGAGCUCAGGCAGAGACUGGGUGAGGUGCCGUGGUCCAUUACUCUCUGCAUGAGUUGCUCUGAAGUACUCUGGGCCUUGUUGAAAUCUGGGUGUGAGCACCUGGUCCCCAGCUGAGGGCACUAUUUGGGGACGAUGUGGAGCAUGUGGAGCGGUGGUCUAGCUAACAGACACCAGUCACUGCAGCAGGCCUUGAAGGGGACAUCUGGUUGUAGCCUGAGCUCUCUGCUUCCUGAUCUGUCAGGAUGUGAACAAGCCCUGCCAUAAGCUCCCGUCACUGUGGUUCCAGCCACCACAGCCUCUGUGCCUGUCCCCAGCCCAGCAUGGAUUGAUAGUCUCUGAAAUGUGACUCAGAAUAAAUCUUCCCUCUCUUGUA
Molecule: long non-coding RNA, 468 nt
Organism: Mastomys coucha (southern multimammate mouse)
Lineage: Eukaryota; Metazoa; Chordata; Mammalia; Rodentia; Muridae
Exons: 2
Source: RefSeq, a predicted model, not a curated record